Molecule: ribosomal RNA, 305 nt
Filed under: uncultured bacterium
Lineage: Bacteria
Description: bacterial SSU rRNA
Rfam family: Bacterial small subunit ribosomal RNA
Source: RNAcentral
GCCUACGGGGGGCAGCAGCCGCGGUAAUACGUAGGGAGCGAGCGUUAUCCGGAUUUAUUGGGUGUAAAGGGUGCGUAGACGGGAAUUUAAGUUAGUUGUGAAAUCCCUCGGCUCAACUGAGGAACUGCAACUAAAACUGGAUUUCUUGAGUGCUGGAGAGGAAAGCGGAAUUCCUAGUGUAGCGGUGAAAUGCGUAGAUAUUAGGAGGAACACCAGUGGCGAAGGCGGCUUUCUGGACAGUAACUGACGUUGAGGCACGAAAGUGUGGGGAGCAAACAGGAUUAGAAACCCCGGUAGUCCAGAUC